GGAGUUAGCCGGUGCUUCUUCUGUGAGUGAUGUCCUUCCUGCCGGCUAUUAACCCGCAGGCCUUCUUCCUCACUGAAAGUGCUUUACAACCCGAAGGCCUUCUUCACACACGCGGCAUGGCUGGAUCAGGGUUGCCCCCAUUGUCCAAUAUUCCCCACUGCUGCCUCCCGUAGGAGUCUGGGCCGUGUCUCAGUCCCAGUGUGGCUGAUCAUCCUCUCAGACCAGCUACGGAUCGUCGCCUUGGUGAGCCGUUACCUCACCAACCAGCUAAUCCGACAUAGGCUCAUCCGAUAGCGCGAGGCCCGAAGGUCCCCCGCUUUCCCCCGUAGGGCGUAUGCGGUAUUAGCCUGGGUUUCCCCAGGUUAUCCCCCACUACCGGGCAGAUUCCUAUGCAUUACUCACCCGUCCGCCGCUCGCCACCAGGGAGCAAGCUCCCCGUGCUGCCGCUCGACUUGCAUGUGUUAGGCCUGCCGCCAGCGUUCAAUCUGACACGAUACAAUACUGUACUGUAGCGGCGUGGCGACGACGGCGACUAG
This 536-nucleotide ribosomal RNA is filed under the name uncultured bacterium. RNAcentral's name for it is "partial 16S ribosomal RNA". The record is from RNAcentral.